UCCUACUUAACAUAGGCAGUCUCCUUAGAGUUCCCGGCAUUAUCCGCUGGCAACUAAGGACAAGGGUUUCGCUCGUUAUGGGACUUAACCCGACAUCUCACGACACGAGCUGACGACAGCCAUGCAACACCUGUGUAUGCUCCGCCCUUGCGGGUGUCUCUUGGCUUUCACCAAAAUAAUUCAUACAAGUCAAGACCGGGUAAGGUUCUUCGCGUUGCGUCGAAUUAAACCACAUACUCCACCGCUUGUGUGAGCCCCCGUCAAUUCCUUUGAGUUUUAGUCUUGCGACCAUACUCCCCAGGCGGGGUACUUAACGUAUUAACUCCGAAUGGGACACAAAAGCACCCCAUCCUAGUACCCAUCGUUUACAGCUAGGACUAC
Molecule: unclassified non-coding RNA, 381 nt
Filed under: uncultured Planctomycetota bacterium
Lineage: Bacteria; Pseudomonadati; Planctomycetota
Description: uncultured planctomycete contains 16S-23S intergenic spacer region
Source: RNAcentral